AGUGAACGCUGGCGGUAGGCCUAACACAUGCAAGUCGAACGGCAGCACAGUAAGAGCUUGCUCUUACGGGUGGCGAGUGGCGGACGGGUGAGGAGUACAUCGGAAUCUACUUUUUCAUGGGGGAUAACGUAGGGAAACUUACGCUAAUACCGCAUACGACCUACGGGUGAAAGCAGGGGAUCUUCGGACCUUGCGCGAUUGAAUGAGCCGAUGUCGGAUUAGCUAGUUGGCGGGGUAAAGGCCCACCAAGGCGACGAUCCGUAGCUGGUCUGAGAGGAUGAUCAGCCACACUGGAACUGAGACACGGUCCAGACUCCUACGGGAGGCAGCAGUGGGGAAUAUUGGACAAUGGGCGCAAGCCUGAUCCAGCCAUACCGCGUGGGUGAAGAAGGCCUUCGGGUUGUAAAGCCCUUUUGUUGGGAAAGAAAAGCAGCAGGUUAAUACCCCGCUGUUCUGACGGUACCCAAAGAAUAAGCACCGGCUAACUUCGUG
RNAcentral lists this ribosomal RNA (492 nucleotides) under uncultured bacterium. RNAcentral describes it as "partial 16S ribosomal RNA". It matches the Rfam family "Bacterial small subunit ribosomal RNA", at positions 29 to 507 of the family's 1533-position model. The record is from RNAcentral.